RNAcentral lists this unclassified non-coding RNA (346 nucleotides) under Hevea brasiliensis (rubber tree). The record is from RNAcentral. Lineage: Eukaryota; Viridiplantae; Streptophyta; Magnoliopsida; Malpighiales; Euphorbiaceae.
GCCAUGCGGACAACUUGGGCUAUCAAUGUGGAGGCUGGACAAUUACAUGGCAGGGUCUUGGUGGCAAUGACCUCACAUCUGGCACAACAAUUGUCAAUGCAAUAAAAAACACAGUUGAUCCUGCAACCCAAGUUGUAUUCAAUCAGAACCCCGAUGUAAACUUCGUCAAGUCCAAUAAAUUCUCCUAUGCCAUUGUUGUAGUUGGUGAGACCCCAUACGCAGAAACAUUUGGUGACAGCCUAAAUCUGACAGUACCUGAACCUGGCCCAAGUACUAUCACCAAUGUAUGUACAUCCGUCAAAUGCGUUGUAGUUAUCAUAUCUGGCCGCCCUGUUGUGAUCCAGCC